UACGAAGGGGGGCUAGCGUUGCUCGGAAUUACUGGGCGUAAAGCGCACGUAGGCGGAUUUUUUAAGUCAGGGGGUGAAAUCCCGGGGCUCAACCUCGGAACUGCCUUUGAUACUGCGAGUCUUGAGUCCGAUAGAGGUGGGUGGAAUUCCUAGUGUAGAGGUGAAAUUCGUAGAUAUUAGGAAGAACACCAGUGGCGAAGGCGGCCCACUGGAUCGGUACUGACGCUGAGGUGCGAAAGCGUGGGGAGCAAACAGG
Molecule: ribosomal RNA, 256 nt
Filed under: uncultured bacterium
Lineage: Bacteria
Description: partial 16S ribosomal RNA
Rfam family: Bacterial small subunit ribosomal RNA
Source: RNAcentral